Molecule: ribosomal RNA, 433 nt
Filed under: uncultured bacterium
Lineage: Bacteria
Description: partial 16S ribosomal RNA
Rfam family: Bacterial small subunit ribosomal RNA
Source: RNAcentral
AACGAACGCUGGCGGCAUGCCUAACACAUGCAAGUCGAACGAGACCUUCGGGUCUGGUGGCGCACGGGUGCGUCACGCGUGGGAACCUGCCCUUAGGUUCGGAAUACCUCCCCUACAGGGGUGCUAAUACCGGAAAAUUUCUUCUAACCAAAGAUUGAUCGCCUUUGGAUGAGCCCGCGUUCGCUUAGCUAGUUGGUAGUGUAAGAGCCUAUCACGGCGACGAUCCUUAGCUGGUCUGAGAGGAAGAUCAGCCACACUUGGAGUGAGACACGGCGCAGACUCCUACGGGAGGCAGCAGUGGGGAAUAUUGGACAACGGGGGGAAGCAUGAUGCAGCAAGGCUGCGUGAGUGAUGAAGUCCGGAGAGUUGUAAAGCUCUUUUACCCGGGAUGAUAAUGACAGUACCGGGAGAAUAAGCGCCGGCUAACUUCGUG